This 1162-nucleotide long non-coding RNA is filed under the name Homo sapiens (human). Its description in RNAcentral is "HSALNT0232943". Lineage: Eukaryota; Metazoa; Chordata; Mammalia; Primates; Hominidae. The record is from RNAcentral.
CGGAGCCCUCUGGGAUUCCGUACCUGGGCGCCACGCCGGCCCUCCCUAACGUGCGCAGGUGAAGGGGGGAGGAUGCCCGGUGGAUUGUUCACCAAACUCUUUCCAGCAGCCUGUUGCAAUCAUCUAGGUAGAAGUAUAAUAAUCACAAAGUACUAUUCAUGGAGUGAAAGGCUGGAAAUACUAGUGACGCACCUCACUUCCGGGCCCAGGCUUCCAAGUCUCCCGCCUCACCUCCCGCCGGCAUCCCUCGAGAAUGGAACAGGCCAUUCGCCAAGGAGGCGGUGAGCGAGAGAGCAACCUUGCGCAUGCGCAGGACUCGCAGCGUCCUCGGCGCCCGGGGACUUGGGGGUUUUGGGGUUGGGGGCUGCUUAGUGAACGCUGUUCAGAGAAGGCACUGAUCUAAGCUGAGGUGUUGUCUCAGACCCUACCGCCGAAUUCUAGACGGAAAAAAUUGUUGAAACAACUGGUCCAGCCUCUUGCAUGUCACAAUUAUGACUUGUCAGACGAGCCUCACUCUGUUGUCCAGGCUGAAGUGUAAUGGUGCAGUCUCGGCUCACUGCAACCUCUGCCUCCCCGGUUCAAGCGAUUCUCCUGCCUCAGCCUCCCUGAGUAGCUUCGACUAGAGGCGUGCGCCAUCGCACACACUGUAUUUUUAGUAGAGACAGGGUUUUACCAUGUUGGCCAGGCUGGUCUCAAACUCCCAACCUCAAGUGAUCCUCCUGCCUCGGCCUCCCAAAGUGUUUAGAUUUCAGGCCUGAGCCACCGAGCCUGGCCUCAAACACUUCUCUUUUUUUCUUUUUUUUGAGAUGGAGUCUCGUUCUGUCGCCAGGCUGGAGUGCAGUGGCACCAUCUCUGCUCACUGCAAGCUCCGCCUCCCGGGUUCAAGCAAUUCUCCUGCCUCAGCCUCCUGAGUAGCUGGGAUUACAGGUGCGUGCCACCAAGCCUGGCUAAUUUUUGUGUUUUUAGUAGAGACGGGGUUUCACUAGUUGGACAGGCUAGUCUCCAACUCCUGACCUCAGGUGAUCCACCCACCUUGGCCUCCCAAAGUGCUGGGAUUACAGGCGUGAGACACCAGGCCCAGCCUCAACUGUAGACUUUUAACUCAAAGGUACAAAAAUUGGAUUAUGUCUGGGCCAGUUUUUUCCCUUGUCGAUAGUAUAGC